RNAcentral lists this ribosomal RNA (477 nucleotides) under uncultured bacterium. RNAcentral's name for it is "bacterial SSU rRNA". It matches the Rfam family "Bacterial small subunit ribosomal RNA", at positions 50 to 518 of the family's 1533-position model. The record is from RNAcentral.
AACACAUGCAAGUCGAGGGGCGAACAGGGAGUAGCAAUACUCUGCUGACGACCGGCGCACGGUGCGUAACGCGUAUGCAACCUACCCUGUACAGGGGGAUAACGGAGAGAAAUUUCCACUAAUAUCCCAUGGUGUCGGAGAACCGCAUGGUUUUCGGACUAAAGCUUCGGUGGUACAGGACGGGCAUGCGUGACAUUAGGUAGUUGGCGGGGCAACGGCCCACCAAGCCGACGAUGUCUAGGGGAGCUGAGAGGCUUAUCCCCCACACCGGUACUGAGACACGGACCAGACUCCUACGGGAGGCAGCAGUGAGGAAUAUUGGUCAAUGGGAGGAAUCCUGAACCAGCCAUGCCGCCGGUGGGGGAAGAAGGUCCUAUGGGUUGUAAACCCCUUUUACGCCGGAGUAAUAAGAGCCUUGCGAGGCUCGAUGAGAGUACGGCGGGAAUAAGCAUCGGCUAACUCCGUGCCAGCCGCAGC